CUGCUUCAAGAGAGGGAACUUUAAUCCUGUAAGACCCUGGCAAGUGCCGACGGUCCAGACUCUAGGAAGCAGUGGGCUUAGAUUUUUUCCCAUUAUAAAGCCAAUAUUCAACAGUACAUGAAGAACAUGAAGUACAUAUUAACGCUGAAGCCACUUUGAAGAAGAUCAGAUGUCAUCUAGAGCUUGUCCCUCACCACUUAAUUUUCAAAAAAAUCUAAGGAUACUUUAUCUAAUAUCUCAUGAUACCUUAUCAAAUCAAAUGUACUCAUUUUCGAUCCUCGUAGUAUGAGACAGUAAUCAACAACUACUACUCAAAAUUCGCCUUCCAUGGCUUUGGUGAUUUUCCUUAUUCUCCAUUUAUUUCUCUCAUUAUUCAUAUCACCUUUAUAGACCUUUUUCUUCCUCCUUUCUUCCUUCCUUCCACUUUAUUGGUGAGGAUCUUCCUCAAGACACUGUCCUUCAUCAUCUGGUAUUUACUCUUGACACUGAAAGCCUUUCCUAAGUAUAUCAUCUAUCCAUGGUAGCCUCUACACUCUUUGCUUUUGCUCCUGCUGUUUUAUUUGCUAGUAGGGGAUAGGAUGGGAUGGGAUAAGAUGGAAUGGAUGGGAUAGAAUAGGAUAAGAUGAGGUAGGACGGUGUGGGAUAGCAUGAGAUAAGAUGAGAUGACCAUUUUAAGUAACUAAAAGGAUAUAAUCACAUGGAAGGAGGAUGGAAGUUUAUUUGUUUGGGCCAUGAAGGAAGGACUAGGCCAAAUGGGUGGAAAUUGCAAGAGGCAAAUGGACAUUAUGGUGUAAACAGAACCCAUACAAUCAAAAUUACAAGGAAAAUAGAAAACCAGGGAAAAUUUUUGCAACAAAUAUCUCUUAUAAAGACCUCAAAUUUCUCAAAUAUGUAAAGAAUUGAGUUAAAUUUGUAAAAAUACAAGUCGGUCCCCAAUUGAUAAAUGGUCAAAGGAUAUCAACAGUCAGUUGUCAGACAAAGAAUUCCAAGCUAUCUAUAGUCAUAUGAAAAUGCUCUAAAUCACAGUUGAUUAGAGAAAUGC
This 1042-nucleotide long non-coding RNA is filed under the name Sarcophilus harrisii (Tasmanian devil). Its description in RNAcentral is "lncRNA (ENSSHAG00000021744.1)". The record is from RNAcentral. Lineage: Eukaryota; Metazoa; Chordata; Mammalia; Dasyuromorphia; Dasyuridae.